This 630-nucleotide ribosomal RNA is filed under the name Pseudomonas sp. enrichment culture clone 1PR3. RNAcentral's name for it is "bacterial SSU rRNA". It matches the Rfam family "Bacterial small subunit ribosomal RNA", at positions 239 to 862 of the family's 1533-position model. The record is from RNAcentral. Lineage: Bacteria; Pseudomonadati; Pseudomonadota; Gammaproteobacteria; Pseudomonadales; Pseudomonadaceae.
GAUUAGCUAGUUGGUGAGGUAAUGGCUCACCAAGGCGACGAUCCGUAACUGGUCUGAGAGGAUGAUCAGUCACACUGGAACUGAGACACGGUCCAGACUCCUACGGGAGGCAGCAGUGGGGAAUAUUGGACAAUGGGCGAAAGCCUGAUCCAGCCAUGCCGCGUGUGUGAAGAAGGUCUUCGGAUUGUAAAGCACUUUAAGUUGGGAGGAAGGGCAUUAACCUAAUACGUUAGUGUUUUGACGUUACCGACAGAAUAAGCACCGGCUAACUUCGUGCCAGCAGCCGCGGUAAUACGAAGGGUGCAAGCGUUAAUCGGAAUUACUGGGCGUAAAGCGCGCGUAGGUGGUUCGUUAAGUUGGAUGUGAAAGCCCCGGGCUCAACCUGGGAACUGCAUCCAAAACUGGCGAGCUAGAGUACUGUAGAGGGUGGUGGAAUUUCCUGUGUAGCGGUGAAAUGCGUAGAUAUAGGAAGGAACACCAGUGGCGAAGGCGUCCACCUGGACUGAUACUGACACUGAGGUGCGAAAGCGUGGGGAGCAAACAAGAUUAGAUACCCUGGUAGUCCACGCCGUAAACGAUGUCAACUAGUCGUUGGGUUCCUUGAGAACUUAGUGCGCAGCUAACGCAUUA